Molecule: long non-coding RNA, 1615 nt
Filed under: Rhipicephalus microplus (southern cattle tick)
Lineage: Eukaryota; Metazoa; Arthropoda; Arachnida; Ixodida; Ixodidae
Description: uncharacterized LOC119185099
Source: RNAcentral
GUGUGGGCGAAAUGAAAGAUUGGUGACAAACCUGGAAUUUUGGGUGCUUCGGGUGGAACUCUGGUCCAACAGGUGGGAGAAUUUCUUAUCCUGAGUGGUCCGGUGCUUUUUUGCCGUCGAUGCCGCAACGGAGUCCGCGAACUCGUCGACCGCAGACAUCAACUCAGGCAUGCGGUGCUCAAGUGGACGCUUGGCAAAUAAAGAAACAAAAGAAAGGCGUAGAAAUGUUUUUAAAAGGCGCAAAUGUAAUUUUAAUUAACUCUACAUAGGUGACGCCACCAUAGAUGACAGGCGUUUUGCGCUCAUUCAGCAGGCAACCACUUCGACACUAGGCAUAGCCUCCAAAAUUUGCAAAUGCCAAAAUUGCAAAUCUCUAAGGCCAAAUACAAAGACCUUUAUUCCUAUGUAGAUAGCGCUGCCAUAGAUGACAAGUGUUUCGCGCUCAUCCGGCAGGCAAGGGAAAUCUAGGAGGCGUUGGACGUUGGUGUUGUUGGAUUCGACUGUCAGUGACUAAGUAUUUGGUGCUGUGUUGGCCCACAUCUCUAUCUCUGUGGUAGCACAGGUAAGAAAAUAUAUAUAUCAGCUGAUUCCAUGGCACGAACUCAGUUGGACAGGGAAGCUGUAAUGAUAAUGAUGAUGGUAACUUUUGGCACAAAAGUAAUCAUCAUUUGGUUUCAUUUAUUCACUCCUGACUCUGUUGACACGAUCUGUGUGGUGACUACUAUGAUGAGGGUGAUGACGGCAAAGGGUAGACUAUAAGACAGCUUCAUUCCAAAGAAUUUGGGGGUAGGAUUAUUUGUGUAAGAAAAACAGGUUUAGGAAGCCGGUGCAUUGCUGAUUGCCGUAUUCCUGACCAUCAUAUCAAUGAUCUCUUUGGUUCUCGCUGAUAUUAGAAACUAUCUUAUCGUAGUUUUAUCACUCGCAUAAUAUAGUUAACAGAUUGUAAGAGUCUACAAGUAAUCUGAAUGAUUACAGCGUGGCAAACUAAGCAAAGAAGGAUUAUGCUGUCAAUUGUCUGUAAAGCUGAUAUAAAGCAGGUGAAAACGUAACCCCUACUUCUAAGAUUGGUAACCUUGUGUAAGACCGGCACAAAAUGAGGAAAGGUGUUUAUGAAAAUUGUUCCGUUGACGAUCCAUUGCCCAGAUUUUGGAAGUUGCUAAAGUCAACUUUGUGUGACCAGCAUAAUGUGAGCAUUCAGAUGGAUUUUGAGAAAAAUGUUAUGUAGCGAUUCUGUACCUCAGCUCUGCCUUGUGUAGUAUAACCAUCUGUGUCUUGUCUGAUUUCUACACCUUGUGCUCAUUUCUGUACGACCCAAGGAAGACCUGCGUCAAUGCCAAGAAAGCUUAAGAAGAGCGCAGAAAGACAUCAAGAUAUUGAAAGGAAAGCUUCUUGAGCUGGCUGAGGAAAACAGACAGCUACGCUCUGAAGAGUGCAAGCGUUGCCAGCAGCAAGCAGGAUAUUCACUAGUUCCGGAUUCUUUGCUGAAAGAGAUAGAACGAGCCCUCCUCAUCUUCAAGCAUCUCAUACCUGUUGGCAAACACACAGAAAACAGGAAUCCCGUUGAGACAGUGGCUGCUAGACACGAUGUGCAGGUGCCUGGACAAGUCCUGCAAAA